RNAcentral lists this ribosomal RNA (426 nucleotides) under uncultured bacterium. Its description in RNAcentral is "bacterial SSU rRNA". It matches the Rfam family "Bacterial small subunit ribosomal RNA", at positions 8 to 447 of the family's 1533-position model. The record is from RNAcentral.
AGAGUUUGAUCCUGGCUCAGAAUCAACGCUGGCGGCGCGCCUAACACAUGCAAGUCGAACGAGAAAGCAGGAGCAAUCCUGUGAGUAAAGUGGCGUACGGGUGAGUAACACGUGGAUUAUCUACCUUCUAGUGGGGGAUAACCCUGGGAAACCGGGGCUAAUACCGCAUAAGUUCGAGAGAAGAAAGCAGCAAUGCGCUGGAAGAGGAGUCCGCGGCCGAUUAGCUAGUUGGUAGGGUAAAAGCCUACCAAGGCUACGAUCGGUAGCCGGCCUGAGAGGGCACACGGCCACACUGGCACUGAAACACGGGCCAGACUCCUACGGGAGGCAGCAGUGGGGAAUCUUGCACAAUGGGGGAAACCCUGAUGCAGCGACGCCGCGUGAGCGAUGAAGCCCUUCGGGGUGUAAAGCUCUUCGGCAGGGACG